This 253-nucleotide ribosomal RNA is filed under the name uncultured bacterium. RNAcentral describes it as "partial 16S ribosomal RNA". It matches the Rfam family "Bacterial small subunit ribosomal RNA", at positions 524 to 776 of the family's 1533-position model. The record is from RNAcentral.
UACGGAGGGUGCAAGCGUUAAUCGGAAUUACUGGGCGUAAAGCGUGCGCAGGCGGUUUGUUAAGUCCGUUGUGAAAGCCCCGAGCUCAACUUGGGAAUUGCAGUGGAUACUGGCAGGCUGGAGUACGGUAGAGGAAGGUGGAAUUCCCGGUGUAGCAGUGAAAUGCGUAGAGAUCGGGAGGAACACCAGUGGCGAAGGCGGCCUUCUGGACCAAUACUGACGCUCAUGCACGAAAGCGUGGGGAGCAAACAGG